CAGCAGCCGCGGUAAUACGUAGGGUGCAAGCGUUAAUCGGAAUUACUGGGCGUAAAGCGUGCGCAGGCGGUUAUAUAAGACAGAUGUGAAAUCCCCGGGCUCAACCUGGGAACUGCAUUUGUGACUGUAUAGCUAGAGUACGGCAGAGGGGGAUGGAAUUCCGCGUGUAGCAGUGAAAUGCGUAGAUAUGCGGAGGAACACCGAUGGCGAAGGCAAUCCCCUGGGCCUGUACUGACGCUCAUGCACAAAAGCGUGGGGAGCAAACAGGAUUAGAUACCCCCGUAGUCCCUGUCUCUUAUAA
RNAcentral lists this ribosomal RNA (301 nucleotides) under uncultured bacterium. RNAcentral describes it as "partial 16S ribosomal RNA". It matches the Rfam family "Bacterial small subunit ribosomal RNA", at positions 509 to 809 of the family's 1533-position model. The record is from RNAcentral.